AUGGGAAACGGGUUAAUAUUCCCGUACUUGGUGUUACUGCGAAGGGGGGACGGAGAAGGCUAUGUUGGCCGGGCGACGGUUGUCCCGGUUUAAGCGUGUAGGCUGGUUUUCCAGGCAAAUCCGGAAAAUCAAGGCUGAGGCGUGAUGACGAGGCACUACGGUGCUGAAGCAACAAAUGCCCUGCUUCCAGGAAAAGCCUCUAAGCAUCAGGUAACAUCAAAUCGUACCCCAAACCGACACAGGUGGUCAGGUAGAGAAUACCAAGGCGCUUGAGAGAACUCGGGUGAAGGAACUAGGCAAAAUGGUGCCGUAACUUCGGGAGAAGGCACGCUGACACGUAGGUGAAGUGAUUUACUCAUGGAGCUGAAGUCAGUCGAAGAUACCAGCUGGCUGCAACUGUUUAUUAAAAACACAGCACUGUGCAAACACGAAAGUGGACGUAUACGGUGUGACGCCUGCCCGGUGCCGGAAGGUUAAUUGAUGGGGUCAGCGCAAGCGAAGCUCCUGAUCGAAGCCCCGGUAAACGGCGGCCGUAACUAUAACGGUCCUAAGGUAGCGAAAUUCCUUGUCGGGUAAGUUCCGACCUGCACGAAUGGCGUAAUGAUGGCCAGGCUGUCUCCACCCGAGACUCAGUGAAAUUGAACUCGCUGUGAAGAUGCAGUGUACCCGCGGCAAGACGGAAAGACCCCGUGAACCUUUACUAUAGCUUGACACUGAACAUUGAGCCUUGAUGUGUAGGAUAGGUGGGAGGCUUUGAAGUGUGGACGCCAGUCUGCAUGGAGCCGACCUUGAAAUACCACCCUUUAAUGUUUGAUGUUCUAACGUGGACCCGUUACCCGGGUUGCGGACAGUGUCUGGUGGGUAGUUUGACUGGGGCGGUCUCCUCCUAAAGAGUAACGGAGGAGCACGAAGGUUGGCUAAUCCUGGUCGGACAUCAGGAGGUUAGUGCAAUGGCAUAAGCCAGCUUGACUGCGAGCGUGACGGCGCGAGCAGGUGCGAAAGCAGGUCAUAGUGAUCCGGUGGUUCUGAAUGGAAGGGCCAUCGCUCAACGGAUAAAAGGUACUCCGGGGAUAACAGGCUGAUACCGCCCAAGAGUUCAUAUCGACGGCGGUGUUUGGCACCUCGAUGUCGGCUCAUCACAUCCUGGGGCUGAAGUAGGUCCCAAGGGUAUGGCUGUUCGCCAUUUAAAGUGGUACGCGAGCUGGGUUUAGAACGUCGUGAGACAGUUCGGUCCCUAUCUGCCGUGGGCGCUGGAGAACUGAGGGGGGCUGCUCCUAGUACGAGAGGACCGGAGUGGACGCAUCACUGGUGUUCGGGUUGUCAUGCCAAUGGCACUGCCCGGUAGCUAAAUGCGGAAGAGAUAAGUGCUGAAAGCAUCUAAGCACGAAACUUGCCCCGA
This 1399-nucleotide ribosomal RNA is filed under the name Salmonella enterica subsp. enterica serovar Enteritidis. Its description in RNAcentral is "partial 23S ribosomal RNA". It matches the Rfam family "Bacterial large subunit ribosomal RNA", at positions 1418 to 2802 of the family's 2925-position model. The record is from RNAcentral. Lineage: Bacteria; Pseudomonadati; Pseudomonadota; Gammaproteobacteria; Enterobacterales; Enterobacteriaceae.